UGCAGUCGAGCGAGAAGGUCUUCGGACUGAGUACAGCGGCGGACGGGUGAGUAACGCGUAGGAAUCUACCCAGUAGUGGGGGACAACUUGGGGAAACCCAAGCUAAUACCGCAUACGCCCCAAGGGGGAAAGCGGGGGAUCUUCGGACCUCGCGCUAUUGGAUGAGCCUGCGUUGGAUUAGCUAGUUGGUGGGGUAAAAGCCUACCAAGGCGACGAUCCAUAGCUGGUCUGAGAGGACGAUCAGCCACACUGGGACUGAGACACGGCCCAGACUCCUACGGGAGGCAGCAGUGGGGAAUAUUGCGCAAUGGGGGAAACCCUGACGCAGCCAUGCCGCGUGUGUGAAGAAGGCUUUCGGGUUGUAAAGCACUUUCAGCAGUGAGAAAAAGCCACGGGCUAAUACGUCGUGGUCUUGAUGUUAACUGCACAAGAAGCACCGGCUAACUCCGUGCCAGCAGCCGCGGUAAUACG
RNAcentral lists this ribosomal RNA (471 nucleotides) under uncultured bacterium. RNAcentral's name for it is "bacterial SSU rRNA". It matches the Rfam family "Bacterial small subunit ribosomal RNA", at positions 56 to 527 of the family's 1533-position model. The record is from RNAcentral.